This is a non-coding RNA of Ictidomys tridecemlineatus (thirteen-lined ground squirrel), 73 nucleotides long. The record is from Rfam. NCBI's taxonomy places the organism in Eukaryota, Metazoa, Chordata, Mammalia, Rodentia, Sciuridae.
GGGGAUAUAGCUCAGUUGGUAGAGUGCUUGCCUCACAUGAGCAAGGCCCUGGGUUCAAUCCCCAGCAUCACAA